GACAGAGGGUGCAAACGUUGUUCGGAAUUACUGGGCGUAAAGCGCGUGUAGGCGGCUCGGCAAGUCAGGUGUGAAAGCCCUGGGCUCAACCUAGGAAGUGCACUUGAAACUGCCAGGCUGGAGAUCUGGAGAGGAAGGCGGAAUUCUCGGUGUAGAGGUGAAAUUCGUAGAUAUCGAGAGGAACACCGGUGGCGAAGGCGGCCUUCUGGACAGCAUCUGACGCUGAGACGCGAAAGCUAGGGGAGCAAACAGG
Molecule: ribosomal RNA, 253 nt
Filed under: uncultured bacterium
Lineage: Bacteria
Description: partial 16S ribosomal RNA
Rfam family: Bacterial small subunit ribosomal RNA
Source: RNAcentral